GACGGACUGUAUUUGGCAGACUGAGGAUUGUAGCUUGGGGAUGUAGGACUAUAGGUUGGUGAAGUUGGGCUAUAACUUGGUGAAGUUGGACUAUAACCAGGAGAAGUGGGGCUAUAGGCUGGUGAAGUGGGGCUGUACGAUGGAGAAGUAGGGCUGUAUGACGGUGAGGUAGGGCUGUACGAAGGUGAUGUUGGGCUGUAGGAAGGAGAGGUUGGGCUGUACGAUGGUGAGGUGGGGCUGUAUGCAGGUGAGGUGGGGCUAUAUGCAGGUGAGGUGGGGCUAUAUGCCGGUGAGGUGGGGCUAUAGCUUGGUGAAGUUGGACUGUAACUGGGAGAAGUGGGGCUGUAACUUGGAGAGGUCGGGCUGUAGCUUGGGGAUGUUGGGCUGUAACUUGGGGAGGUUGGGCUAUAGCUUGGUGAAGUAGGUGAGUACGAUGGACUGGUAGGAGAAUAGGCAGGACUGGUUGGACUAUAACCAG
Molecule: long non-coding RNA, 478 nt
Filed under: Citrus maxima (pomelo)
Lineage: Eukaryota; Viridiplantae; Streptophyta; Magnoliopsida; Sapindales; Rutaceae
Description: long non-coding RNA (CMAX_LNC000008)
Source: RNAcentral